RNAcentral lists this long non-coding RNA (342 nucleotides) under Brassica napus (rape). RNAcentral's name for it is "long non-coding RNA (BNAP_LNC012214)". The record is from RNAcentral. Lineage: Eukaryota; Viridiplantae; Streptophyta; Magnoliopsida; Brassicales; Brassicaceae.
UGAGAGGGGAAACAAAUUAACAAAGGUACUCCAAAAUUUUAAAAAAUAUAUUUAGUAAUUAUAUCGUAUAAAUAUAGUUUGACUGAGCACAGCGCAUACGCCUGGACGAUUUUUAUACGUGCAUAGUUUUAUAUUUUAAUAAAUGAUAGUAUUUGUUUUAAAUUGGCCUAGUUUUAUAUUUUUUCGACGAAUACAGAAAAUUAUACUUAAGGCUCAAAUGGCUCAUUAGAACUCUGUUAACGCUACUCCUCUAACACCUCUUGCUGUUCGUCCAACACCUCUUACGUAUUCACUCGGAUGACAUUGAAAAUUAAACAACACCACAUGAUCAACACCAGUGAA